This 494-nucleotide ribosomal RNA is filed under the name uncultured bacterium. RNAcentral's name for it is "partial 16S ribosomal RNA". It matches the Rfam family "Bacterial small subunit ribosomal RNA", at positions 28 to 507 of the family's 1533-position model. The record is from RNAcentral.
GACGAACGCUGGCGGCGCGCUUAACACAUGCAAGUCGAACGGAAGGGCCUGCUUUCCCUUGUGGCUUGCGGGUACUCGAGUGGCGAACGGGUGAGUAACACGUGAGUGAUCUGCCCCCAACUUGGGUAUAAGCCUGGGAAACUGGGUCUAAUUCCCGAUAGGACUGCAGGGUGGUGCCUGUUGUGGAAAACGAUUUUCUAGUGGUUGGGGAUGAGCUCGCGGCCUAUCAGCUUGUUGGUGGGGUAAUGGCCUACCAAGGCGGCGACGGGUAGCCGGCCUGAGAGGGUGGAGGGGGACAGUGAGACUGAGCAACGACCCUGGCUCCGACGGGAGGCAGCAGUGGGGAAGAUAGGAAGAUGGGCGGAAGCCUGAGGCAGCGGCGACGGGUGGGCGAUGACGGGCUGCGGGAAGUAAACUCCUUUCGAGCGCGAGGAAGCCUCCUGGUUGGGAGGGUGGUGACGGUAGUGGUAGAAGAAGCACCGGCUAACUACGUG